This is an RNA transcript of Prionailurus viverrinus (fishing cat), 5588 nucleotides long. It is a transcript of the gene named caspase 10, with no coding region annotated. The record is from RefSeq and is a predicted model, not a curated record. Lineage: Eukaryota; Metazoa; Chordata; Mammalia; Carnivora; Felidae. The transcript has 9 exons.
UUCUUUCUCUAUUUCCCUCCUUCUCUCAUAUCCUCUCCUUCUCUCCUUUUCCAAUUCUCUCUCUUUCUUUUUUGAUUCUCCAAUCUUAGUGAUCCAAGGGAAAGGCUAAAAACACUUAGUGCCUUCCAAGAGUUCAGUUGCAGCAGUCUUUGGUUUAACCUGGGAAAAUCCCUAGCUGUCCGGCAGGAAAGUUGUAACUCUUGCCUUUAGGAGGCGCUGUUUGUCAGAGUUAUCCUAAACCUGGAAAAGGGAGGGGGAGAGGCCGUCAAGGGAGCUAUGACGUGAGCAGGAAGUUAAUUAUCAAGUUACCCGAACCGGGACAUCCAGUUUUCACUUGCCUAGGCAGAAAGUCUUGAGUUCUCUUCCCGCGCAAAUGGGAGCUUCCCUGGAACGUGGAUUACACAGAGAAUUUUAAUUUCUUAAAAACUUGUUUUCAGGCAGUUUCCCCCGGAACCAUUUACCUCCAGAGGACGAGCGGAAUUUGAUCUGAAGGCUGGCCAUGACAUCUCAAGGUCAAAGUUUGAGGUUCCGUUCAGAUGAUAAUUGUCAAGUGAACUUCCGUGAGAAGCUUCUGAUUAUUGAUUCAAACCUGGAGGCCCAAGAUGUGGAGGGCUUGAAGUUUCUCUGCCGAGACUGGAUCUCCCACAAGAAGCUGGAGAAGUCCAGCUCAGCCUCGGAUAUUUUUGAUCAUCUGUUGGCAGAGGAGCUGCUGAGUGAGGAAGACCCCUUCUUCCUAGCAGAACUCCUCUAUAUACUCAAACAGAAUUCGCUGCUGCGGUACCUCCGCCAAAGCAGAGAGCAAGUGGAGAGUUUGCUGCCCACCCGAAGGAGGGUCUCUCUGUUCAGAAACCUGCUGUACGAACUGUCAGAGGGAAUCGGCUCAGAGAACUUAAAGGACAUGGUCUUCCUUAUGAGGGAAUCGAUUCCCAAAAUCCAGAUGACCUCUCUAAGUUUCCUGGCAUAUCUGGAGAAACAAGCUCUAAUAGAUGAAGAUAAUCUGAUGUUACUGGAGGAUCUCUGCAGAAAAGUUGUACCUAACCUUAUGAGAAAGAUAGAAAAAUAUAAGAGAGAGAAAGCCUCCCAGGUAGUAACACCUCCUGUUGACCAGGAAACUGAGUCAUUGCAUCAAGGAGAGGAAGAACUAUUUUCCCGUUCAGAUGUUAACCAAUUCUUUGGAGCCUUACAGGAAGCAACUGUGUACAGAAUGGAUCGGAAGCACAGAGGCCACUGUGUUGUUGUCAAUAACCACAGCUUUACCUCACUCUCAGAUCGACCAGGGACUCAUAGAGAUGCUGAGUGCUUGGAGCGUGUGUUUCAGUGGCUGGGGUUCAGCGUACAUAUAUAUAAUAAUGUGACCAAAGGACGUCUAGAUGAGGUUCUGAAGGAAUAUAAGAGUCAUCCAGGCCAUGCUGAUGGAGAUUGCUUUGUGUUCUGUGUUCUGACCCAUGGGAAAUUUGGAGCUGUCUACUCCUCAGAUGAGGCCCUUGUUCCCAUUCGGGAGAUCAUGUCUCAUUUCACAGCCCAGCAGUGCCCUGGCCUGGCUCAUAAACCCAAACUCUUUUUUAUCCAGGCCUGUCAGGGUGAAGAGAUACAACCUUCUGUAUCCAUUGAAGCAGAUGCUGUAAAUUCCGAGCAUUCACCUCCUACCCCUUCCCUUCUGGCCAGUGUUCCCAGUGAUGCAGAUUUCCUUCUUGGCCUGGCCACUGUCCCUGGCUAUGUAUCCUUUCGGCAUGUAGAGGAAGGCAGCUGGUAUAUUCAGUCUCUGUAUAAUAAUCUGAAGAACUUGGUCCCAAGACAUGAAGAUAUCUUAUCCAUCCUCACUGCUGUCAACAAUGAUGUGAGUCAACAAGCAAACAAAGAAGGAACAAAGAGACAGAUGCCCCAACCUGCUUAUACACUACGGAAAAAACUAGUAUUCCCUGUGCCACAGGAAAAACUUUUAUUGUAGUAGAGAGUUCUCAAUGACUCUUUGACUUGAAAGGAAACUUUGGUCAUCUCUUCCAAUCUCCCACCCACCAUAGGAAUCAUUGAUAGAUGUCUGGAACAGGAAGCAAGCCUGAAGAUGAGAACCCUCUUGUGAUGCCUCCGAGCUCCCCAAACCUGUUCUCAUAAAUCAGGUUCAAAUGCAGACUCAACUUUCCUCAUCUGUGACCACCACUUGCACACCACUGCUGCUGACAGUUUUCCAUUCCCAGAAUGCACAAUCAGAAGCCCUGUACUGCAUCUGAUCAUCCUACAUUUCAGCUUAUUUUGCCACUUGCAAGCAUCCUCGCCCCUCUACUCAUGUCGUCUUGGAUCUCCAGCUCUCGCCACCCUGCAAGGAGACAGUGAGCCAGUUUUGGCUAGAUGCUUCUUGCUGCGGCCAAAUUAGCAACGUUAGCCUUUGGUUCUAGUCACUUGUUGAUGCCAAAAAUGAUGACUCUGUGAGAGUGACAGAGAGGUGUUACUGUGCCCAUUUUAUGGAUCAGAAAAUCAAGGCUCAGAGAAGCUAAAUAAUAAACAAGGUCAUACUGCUAGAAAUUGGGAAGGACCAGACUUGAACUCUAUCUGGCUGACCUCCAAGUACAGGGACCUGUCCUUCCUGUCUUUACCAUGCUGCUCUUGUGAAAAUAUUUUCUAAGAGACAGAGGGCAGGCUUAUACAGAGCAAUUAGCACCCCAUCUCGGGUCUUGGAGAUGGGAACCUGGCCUCUCUGCUGGAGGUAUCAGCCUGAAAUAUCAAGGAGAAGACAAUUUUAUCAACAGUUUCAGCCCUGUAAGAAAUGGGCUUGGCCUAAGUUAAAUAUUGUGAUAAAAUAUUAAAACAGGAAGUUCUAUUACUUAUAAGAAAGAUGGCUCAUUCUGCCAGUAAUCGAAAGCACUGCUGUUUGUGGAAGUUUGGCAAGUCCAACUUCCUCAGGUCCCUGGAACUGAACCCUUAGGUCUGGGACCUCUAUAUGUGACAAAUCUACUCAGCCAGGCUUCCCCCUUUUUGCUCUGUGUUCAGUAGGAGGUUACAAUUUCUAGGAAGGACAAUGAAGCAAAUUCAGUGGCAGGCAGAGACAUGGGGGCCUGAACAGACAGAUCUUAACAACUUCCUUUCCUAGGUUUGCCUUUGCUUGGACACCUCACAGGGCAGUGAUUGAUAGUCUUUUCCAGAGUCUUGCUCCUCCAACCACCCACCAGCUGUGUUAUCUCCUAGAGCAAGACUUAAACCCAGCCCCUUUCCAGCACCACCCUUCCAUUUUCGAGCCAUGGGGUUUAGAAUUCUGAACUCAUCACUCUUACCUCUUAUUGCUCACACUUUUGUUUCAUGUGUCUAUGUGUCUAUCUCAUUUCAUCUUUUAAAAAUUCCUUUAUUUAUUUGGGAAUAUAAUAUAAGCAGCUGGUAAAACAUUUAAACAGUACAGAAGGAUACAUAGGGAAAAGUAAAUUUCACACUGAUCCCCUCCCCCAAGUCCCCAGUUCUUCCACAGAGAUAAUUAUUGUUUCUUCUUUUUGUUAUUUAUUUAAGUAAUCUCUACACCCAACAUGGGUCUUGAGCUCACGACCCCCAGACCAAGAGUUGCAUGUUCUUUCUACUGAGCCAUCCAGGUGUCCCCAGAGGUAAUUAUUGUUUCUAAUAUUUUGAAUAUCCCUUCAGAGAUAUGUUAUUCUUAUAUAAACAUAUAUAUAUAUAUAUAUAUAUAUAUAUAUAUAUCUGUGUCUUUCUCUGAUUUUCCCCUUCCCAAAUGCUGGCAGACCAUUCUGCACUUGGGUUUUUUAAUUGAACAUAUCUCAGAGCUUAUCCUGUAUCAGAACAUCUAGGUCUCCCUGAUCUUCUUUAUGGCUGCCAAUAUUCCAUUAUAUGCAUGUGUCAUCAGUGAUCCAACUAGCCCCCCACUGAUGGGCAUUUAGGGAUUGUAGGGUUCAUAUGGGUAGAAACCAGAUCUUACCCAUCCUUUGUUUCCUAUGUUUCAAUCUAAAACAGUGCUCUGCCAGAAUUGUUUAGUAAUUAAAAGACAAAUACAAACCACAAACACAUUCGUUCAUGAAAAUUGGGGAAAAGCUCUUAUUUAUUCUCAGCUCUGAGCUUUAUAUCUGCUGCUUUGCUGAAGUAAGAAUGUGCUAGUUCUCAUGCAGCUUUCUCAUCAGCCACAGGUACUCAGCCCUACCAGGUAUCAAGUAGUUAGAAAACUUAUGGAUGCAAAAAUGUCCCUGCCUUCUAGGAAAUUAUAAUCUGGUUGGAGAGAGAAGAAAGGUGUUUGUUGGCAAAAACAAAAUAAUCAAGAAAGGAUGGAUAAAUUUUAAAAGUGGUGUUAGGACAUUGGUUCUCUAUCUGCAAGAAAUUAAAGUUAGAUUCCUAUCUCAGACCAUGCACACAUACACAAAAACUCCAAAAAUAUAAAUGUUAAAACAAAACUAUAAAGGCAUUAAAAGAAAUAUAGGAAAUGAAAGACCAGAGAAAGUCUCCCUAAGCAACACAUAGAAGCCAGAAGUCACAAAGAAAAAGCCAGGUAUAUUUGUCCACAUAAAAAUGUAAAUUUUCUGUGUAAUUGAAGACACAAAAAUUGCAUUAAAAGACAGGCAAUGACGUUUGGGAAGAUGAAAAGAUGCCCAUUAUAUCUUGUUAACUAAACAGAAAGUAAGCUAUAAACCAUAUAUAUACUUAUAUAAAUUGAUAUAUUCAGUCAGAGUGCAGUCAGAGGUGGAAACCACACCUGUCCUUCAAAAUGGAAAAUUUAAUAGGAAGAAUUAUUCACUAGUAAAAGAAAAUUACUGAAAGUAAAAUGCCUUUAGGGCUGAGGGAGGUACCCAUGGAAAGAAGAGAUUUGGAAGACUCCUCCCCACCCCACAAAUGUUGGUCCCAGUUGAAGAAGCUGUGACUGUGCCCACUGAAGGUAGAGAAGUUCAUGGGAGUGUCAUAGGCUCACCUGCAGUCUGCAAGUGGAGGCUGGUGAGCAGGAGGCUUCCUGUGGGCAUGCUGACAAAGUUCCUGGAGUGUGAGCACCACUAGGUCUCCUGCAAGCUGCUGGUAGCCCUGCCAUAGAAGCAGGAAAGAAAAGCCCGCUGAACUAGGAAGAGAAGCCCUUCCUCUGCUUGGCCUUGUGCUGUCUCUCCAGUGUCCUCUAGGAUCAAAACCUAAAAUUGUGCCACCUGGUGGAGGAGCCAUUUUCAUAGGAUGUAGCUACAGUGUCAUCAAGCAGGCAGUAGGAGAGUGGAUUUGGUGCUCAGAGGCAGUACAUGGAUUGAUACAAGAUGGCAUAUAUGAUAUAUGUGCACAUUCACACUUAUUAUGUGUUUACUCAGUACACCAGGAGGUGUUGUAAUUCUUUUACAUGUAUUAACUCAUUUGAUUUUCACACUAAGUCUCCAACUCUUCAAAAGAGUUAUUAAUAUCUGUAUUCUAUGAAUGAGGAAAUCGAAGCACGCAGCUCUUAAGUAACUUGCCCAAGGUCACACAACUAGUAAAUGGCAGAGCAAGAAUCAUAAUGGCUUAAUAAGCAUAAAAAUAGACGGAAAGAAUCAAAAUAACAGUGUUACCUCUCAAGACAGGAUUAAAGAAGCCAUGGAAGUGGAUUUUAUUUAUUUAUUUUUAACAGUGCUUCAAUAAAUAAAUACAGUAAUAAA